RNAcentral lists this ribosomal RNA (644 nucleotides) under Rothia sp. (in: high G+C Gram-positive bacteria). Its description in RNAcentral is "bacterial SSU rRNA". The record is from RNAcentral. Lineage: Bacteria; Bacillati; Actinomycetota; Actinomycetes; Micrococcales; Micrococcaceae.
AGCAUGGGGAGCGAACAGGAUUAGAUACCCUGGUAGUCCAUGCCGUAAACGUUGGGCACUAGGUGUGGGGGACAUUCCACGUUUUCCGCGCCGUAGCUAACGCAUUAAGUGCCCCGCCUGGGGAGUACGGCCGCAAGGCUAAAACUCAAAGGAAUUGACGGGGGCCCGCACAAGCGGCGGAGCAUGCGGAUUAAUUCGAUGCAACGCGAAGAACCUUACCAAGGCUUGACAUACACCGGAUCGUUCCAGAGAUGGUUCUUCCCUUUUGGGCUGGUGUACAGGUGGUGCAUGGUUGUCGUCAGCUCGUGUCGUGAGAUGUUGGGUUAAGUCCCGCAACGAGCGCAACCCUCGUUCUAUGUUGCCAGCACGUGAUGGUGGGGACUCAUAGGAGACUGCCGGGGUCAACUCGGAGGAAGGUGGGGAUGACGUCAAAUCAUCAUGCCCCUUAUGUCUUGGGCUUCACGCAUGCUACAAUGGCCGGUACAAUGGGUUGCGAUACUGUGAGGUGGAGCUAAUCCCAAAAAGCCGGUCUCAGUUCGGAUUGGGGUCUGCAACUCGACCCCAUGAAGUCGGAGUCGCUAGUAAUCGRAGAUCAGCAACGCUGCGGUGAAUACGUUCCCGGGCCUUGUACACACCSCCCSCCC